CCCACGCCGAAAGACCAAGGGUUCCUGCGCAACGUUAAUCGACGCAGGGUUAGUCGGUUCCUAAGGCGAGGCUGAAAAGCGUAGUCGAUGGGAAACAGGUUAAUAUUCCUGUACUUCUGGUUACUGCGAUGGAGGGACGGAGAAGGCUAGGCCAGCUUGGCGUUGGUUGUCCAAGUUUAAGGUGGUAGGCUGAAAUCUUAGGUAAAUCCGGGGUUUCAAGGCCGAGAGCUGAUGACGAGUCGUCUUUUAGAUGACGAAGUGGUUGAUGCCAUGCUUCCAAGAAAAGCUUCUAAGCUUCAGGUAACCAGGAACCGUACCCCAAACCGACACAGGUGGUCGGGUAGAGAAUACCAAGGCGCUUGAGAGAACUCGGGUGAAGGAACUAGGCAAAAUGGCACCGUAACUUCGGGAGAAGGUGCGCCGGCUAGGGUGAAGGAUUUACUCCGUAAGCUCUGGCUGGUCGAAGAUACCAGGCCGCUGCGACUGUUUAUUAAAAACACAGCACUCUGCAAACACGAAAGUGGACGUAUAGGGUGUGACGCCUGCCCGGUGCCGGAAGGUUAAUUGAUGGGGUUAGCGCAAGCGAAGCUCUUGAUCGAAGCCCCGGUAAACGGCGGCCGUAACUAUAACGGUCCUAAGGUAGCGAAAUUCCUUGUCGGGUAAGUUCCGACCUGCACGAAUGGCGUAACGAUGGCGGCGCUGUCUCCACCCGAGACUCAGUGAAAUUGAAAUCGCUGUGAAGAUGCAGUGUAUCCGCGGCUAGACGGAAAGACCCCGUGAACCUUUACUGUAGCUUUGCACUGGACUUUGAGCCUGCUUGUGUAGGAUAGGUGGGAGGCUUUGAAGCGUGGACGCCAGUUCGCGUGGAGCCAUCCUUGAAAUACCACCCUGGCAUGCUUGAGGUUCUAACUCUGGUCCGUGAUCCGGAUCGAGGACAGUGUAUGGUGGGCAGUUUGACUGGGGCGGUCUCCUCCUAAAGAGUAACGGAGGAGUACGAAGGUGCGCUCAGACCGGUCGGAAAUCGGUCGCAGAGUAUAAAGGCAAAAGCGCGCUUGACUGCGAGACAGACACGUCGAGCAGGUACGAAAGUAGGUCUUAGUGAUCCGGUGGUUCUGUAUGGAAGGGCCAUCGCUCAACGGAUAAAAGGUACUCCGGGGAUAACAGGCUGAUACCGCCCAAGAGUUCAUAUCGACGGCGGUGUUUGGCACCUCGAUGUCGGCUCAUCACAUCCUGGGGCUGAAGCCGGUCCCAAGGGUAUGGCUGUUCGCCAUUUAAAGUGGUACGCGAGCUGGGUUUAGAACGUCGUGAGACAGUUCGGUCCCUAUCUGCCGUGGACGUUUGAGAUUUGAGAGGGGCUGCUCCUAGUACGAGAGGACCGGAGUGGACGAACCUCUGGUGUUCCGGUUGUCACGCCAGUGGCAUUGCCGGGUAGCUAUGUUCGGAAAAGAUAACCGCUGAAAGCAUCUAAGCGGGAAACUUGCCUCAAGAUGAGAUCUCACUGGGAACUUGAUUCCCCUGAAGGGCCGUCGAAGACUACGACGUUGAUAGGCUGGGUGUGUAAGCGUUGUGAGGCGUUGAGCUAACCAGUACUAAUUGCCCGUGAGGCUUGACCAU
This 1614-nucleotide ribosomal RNA is filed under the name Pseudomonas aeruginosa. RNAcentral's name for it is "bacterial LSU rRNA". It matches the Rfam family "Bacterial large subunit ribosomal RNA", at positions 1331 to 2925 of the family's 2925-position model. RNAcentral also lists the same sequence under 7 other names. Lineage: Bacteria; Pseudomonadati; Pseudomonadota; Gammaproteobacteria; Pseudomonadales; Pseudomonadaceae. The record is from RNAcentral.